RNAcentral lists this non-coding RNA (29 nucleotides) under Bombyx mori (domestic silkworm). Lineage: Eukaryota; Metazoa; Arthropoda; Insecta; Lepidoptera; Bombycidae. The record is from RNAcentral.
UAAACUGUACGCCAGGAUAACCCAAAAGC